This 427-nucleotide ribosomal RNA is filed under the name uncultured bacterium. RNAcentral describes it as "partial 16S ribosomal RNA". It matches the Rfam family "Bacterial small subunit ribosomal RNA", at positions 355 to 774 of the family's 1533-position model. The record is from RNAcentral.
UGGGGAAUAUUGGACAAUGGGCGAAAGCCUGAUCCAGCCAUGCCGCGUGUGUGAAGAAGGUCUUCGGAUUGUAAAGCACUUUAAGUUGGGAGGAAGGGCAUUAACCUAAUACGUUAGUGUUUUGACGUUACCGACAGAAUAAGCACCGGCUAACUCUGUGCCAGCAGCCGCGGUAAUACAGAGGGUGCAAGCGUUAUUCGGAAUUACUGGGCGUAAAGCGCGCGUAGGUGGUUUGUUAAGUUGGAUGUGAAAUCCCCGGGCUCAACCUGGGAACUGCAUUCAAAACUGACUGACUAGAGUAUGGUAGAGGGUGGUGGAAUUUCCUGUGUAGCGGUGAAAUGCGUAGAUAUAGGAAGGAACACCAGUGGCGAAGGCGACCACCUGGACUAAUACUGACACUGAGGUGCGAAAGCGUGGGGAGCAAACA